Bactrocera tryoni is the source of this 223-nucleotide long non-coding RNA. RefSeq lists it as uncharacterized. The record is from RefSeq and is a predicted model, not a curated record. NCBI's taxonomy places the organism in Eukaryota, Metazoa, Arthropoda, Insecta, Diptera, Tephritidae. The transcript is spliced from 3 exons.
CAUUUAUAUUAGCGCCUUACCAACUGCCGUGGAGGUCCUCCGACAGCAAUCACGCUCAAUAGCUGAACUUAAAAGAAAAUCACAGCUCAAGUUGUCUAAAUGGAACGAUGUCAAAACCAACGAAGAAGGCGAUGCCCACAAAUAUGUUGAAAUACAAUAUGUCUAUAUCUGCGUAUAUAUAAAGUGUCUAACUUAAGCAGACCGCUUUAAAAAUUGUAUAACC